Molecule: ribosomal RNA, 484 nt
Filed under: uncultured bacterium
Lineage: Bacteria
Description: partial 16S ribosomal RNA
Rfam family: Bacterial small subunit ribosomal RNA
Source: RNAcentral
AUUGAACGCUAGCGGGAUGCUUUACACAUGCAAGUCGAACGGCAGCGCGGACUUCGGUCUGGCGGCGAGUGGCGAACGGGUGAGUAAUGUAUCGGAACGUGCCCAGUAGCGGGGGAUAACUACGCGAAAGCGUAGCUAAUACCGCAUACGCCCUACGGGGGAAAGCAGGGGAUCGUAAGACCUUGCACUAUUGGAGCGGCCGAUAUCGGAUUAGCUAGUUGGUGAGGUAACGGCUCACCAAGGCGACGAUCCGUAGCUGGUUUGAGAGGACGACCAGCCACACUGGGACUGAGACACGACCCAGACUCCUACGGGAGGCAGCAGUGGGGAAUUUUGGACAAUGGGGGCAACCCUGAUCCAGCCAUCCCGCGUGUGCGAUGAAGGCCUUCGGGUUGUAAAGCACUUUUGGCAGGAAAGAAACGUCGCGGGCUAAUACCCCGUGGAACUGACGGUACCUGCAGAAUAAGCACCGGCUAACUACGUG